RNAcentral lists this unclassified non-coding RNA (224 nucleotides) under Hevea brasiliensis (rubber tree). The record is from RNAcentral. Lineage: Eukaryota; Viridiplantae; Streptophyta; Magnoliopsida; Malpighiales; Euphorbiaceae.
UAUGCCCAAUGACACCCUUGCGAAGCAUCUCUUUCACUGGGAGAAUCAGACCAUUGAGUGGGCUAUGAGAUUAAGGGUAGCUUUAUAUAUUGCUGAAGCAUUAGACUAUUGUAGCUCUCAGGAACGUCCAUUGUACCAUGACUUGAAUGCUUAUAGAGUCCUAUUCGAUGAGAAUGGUGACCCUCGACUUUCUUGUUUUGGAUUGAUGAAAAACAGCAGGGAUG